GUCAGCAUGGUGUAAUGGUUUGCACAUUAAACUAGGACCCUGGAGACCAGGGUUUGAAUCCCUGCUCAGCCA
Molecule: non-coding RNA, 72 nt
Organism: Phrynosoma platyrhinos (Desert horned lizard)
Lineage: Eukaryota; Metazoa; Chordata; Lepidosauria; Squamata; Phrynosomatidae
Source: the annotation of a GenBank genome assembly